Athalia rosae (coleseed sawfly) is the source of this 4781-nucleotide long non-coding RNA. RefSeq lists it as uncharacterized. Lineage: Eukaryota; Metazoa; Arthropoda; Insecta; Hymenoptera; Athaliidae. The record is from RefSeq and is a predicted model, not a curated record. The transcript is spliced from 5 exons.
ACCUAAUAAUGAAGGAUUGGAUAAUUAGACAAUCCUAACUCAUUUACGUAUACAACGCCGAUGAAUUAAACGCAUUUGAAAUAGUAAUAUGUCGUAUCAAAAACAGUAGAAGUCGCGAUCAUGAUUUUCCCGCUCAGUAGGUGUGGAGCGCUUGCGCGGCGACAAGUUGGGGUCCAACUUCGAAUCGCCUUGUUCCUCUCCGUGUCUCACUGUGAGUUUGACUGUACCUAAUAAUACCGAAUCCUGAAUGUUGUCAUAAAUAACCAAAGGAUUCUGCCUCAAUCCCGUAUAUAACGCCGCUGAAUUAAACGCAUGAAAAAUUUCGGUAUGUCGUAUUAGUCUAUGCAAGUCGCGAGAUCUAGCGCGCCUUCACUUUGCCCCUGAUUGGUGCGGCCAUAUUGUAAUAAUAAUACCGAGCUAUUGCGCGGCGACGCCAUUCCUACGUUGAACUUUGAGAAGUCUAGUUGUUCUCCGUAUCUCGCUGUGAAUUUGACUGGACCUAAUAAUACCGAAUCCCGUGUCUUGUCAUAAAUCACCGAAGGAUUCUGUCUCAAUCCCGUGUAUAACGCCGCUGAAUUAAACGCAUGAAAAAUGGCGGUAUGUCGUAUUUGUCGGUGCAAAGUCGCGUGAUCCAGCGCGCCGCUACGCGGCCCCUGAUUGGUCCGCUUAGUAGAACAAGGGAGCUAGUAUCAGUACAGAGCGCUUCCCCACGACGCAAGUUCAACAUUAAACUUCGGACUAUCUGCUUCGUCUCCGCUAAAUUCGUUGCUAAUUCUAAUCAUGCGCUGUAAUAUCAGAUCUUAAGACCAGUGACAAAUGGGCACACAGUGAUUUAAACAAUCCUAUCUCAUCUGGGUGUAAAAUUGGCUUAAUAAAACUUGUAACAGUGGUGAUGCAGGACGCAACAAGUCGAGCCGGUAGCCAUUGUGAAUCAUUUUUGAAUUCUUGUCGCAACUCGAGUAUCUCCGCGGUGUACUUAAAGUGCAUAAUCAGUGCAUACAAAUGGCUGGAAGCAUUAGCACCAGAUCUCCACGCUUCUGGCUACAUGAAUUAAACCCAGAGUCCGCAGGACACAGCAGGGAAAAAUCUCAAAGCUACCUAACCUGUUCAGUAGACUUCGGAAAGAAAAAUGCAGAUAAUACUGUUCUCGCUGGGUGAUCUCGGUAAUUGGAAUUUUCCGAAAGAAUCCGAUAGUUAGUCCAACCGGAUGUCUAAUAUUCGCAAGACUCAGGAAAAAUUGACAAUCGUUUCUACUGCAUCCGAUGUAGUCACCUCGUCCAUAGCUGAUCAUCGAUCAUCCACAUAAAGUGGGAAAUCUUGCAUCGUUCUUCGUGGGAGCAUCUCAUCCAUACAACGUUUCAACCUACUACACAGCUAUAGCCAUCAGGGAGGCAGAGACAUCCAGGUAAAAUCCAAGACCCCCAAGACCUGGGAACCGGCUAGGGUCCGGUCUUGGUGCUGGCAGCGAUGGUGAGUCCCAGCACUCAAAGUUCCUCGACUUCUUUGCCAGCUCACACGAUGGUGAACGCUGGCAUCGGGUCGUUGUAUUUUAUAUUGUGUCAUUCCUCUGUUCCCUUUUUGUAAAAUGGCGUGGCGGUACCCUGAAUUGCAAUUUUAUUAGAUCAGGUAAUUGUAGGGUUGGUUGCUGUUGAGCAUAGCGCACGUGCACCCUUUAGCGUCAAACAUAUAAAACUCUUCCUUGAAAUUAAUCAGUCAAAAAACCAAUGAAUGAUUAAGUCAGUCAGUCAGUUUAUUAAUUAGUCAAUCAGUUAUUUGAGCAAUCAGUCAACUAUUAGUUCAUCGAAUAUGAACUAUUCAGAUAAAUCACAUCUUAGAUAAAUUUAAGUGCAAGAGUGUGCAGCUCAUAGGCAACGGUAAAGGCCGUCGUUCAAUCGACUCUCGCGUUUUAUAAAUUUCCUAUAAUUUUCGGUGACCGAUCUCGUUUGCGUCGAUCACUGAUCAGUAAUAAAAUUUUGUCGUGCGAAUAAUGGUCAUUACCAUAGAUUCAGCUUUUUCAGGUACAUCAGGAAUUGACUUGGAUAGCUUCCGCGAGUAGUCAGAAUUCAUUUAGUCUCAAUUUAAUGAUCAGCCAUCAGCUGAAUCAAUUUUGAAUUCGAUCUCUAUAUUUUUUUAUCUAUUUGCAUGUUUAAAAUUUCAAUUCUUUCAACUCAAUUUUGAUCAAACUUGAACCCGUCUUUAGGUACCGAUAAGUAAAUUCACUAGAACUAUAACAGGAUGUCUAAUCAUUUCAGGAAUUUUCUUCCCUUACACACAAUUUUCAGCCCUUAACUUUUUCUUGCUUAAUGAAUAUUAUAUGAGAUUAAUUAAUCUCAUUUUCUUACUGAUGAUAUUUACUCAAGAGUAAAUUUACUAAAUUCAUCUAAAGAUCAUUAAUGUUUUUUAAAUUUCGGCCAGAUAGCAAACACACCUUUUCUCAAAAUUUAAAUAAAUUACGGCUUCGGCCGGGGCAUGGGCAGCCUUUAUAUUUCUACACACACAACAGGUCAACAGUAAGUUUUUUGAACGAGAUACCACGGCAAUGAAUGUGAGAUGUGAGUGAGACGAAAUUCUCGGUGCGCCGGCGCAAGUAUGAAUUGGGGUUUUCGUCAGUAAAAUCAUUUCUUGGAUAAUUAUAGGUGAAAGGCAGGUAUAGGUAAAUUCAUGCAUCGCGAGGGCAUUUAUAAGCAGUGUGUAUGUGAAUAAUAGUUUUAACCGUUGGGUGGGAUGUGGGCUCCACAAAAUGGGUAGGCAAGAAAUCGGAAGCGCAACUUUUCUUUCCACAGCAAUUCCAAGUGAUCAAUUGAGUAGAGUUAAUCAAAUUGCGUUAGCUAAUUUUCUGCAACAUUUUAUUUGACAUUUUUCUAAUAAUUUUUUUCGUGUUGUCUUUUAGAUCUCUUUUCUGAGAUCUGAUAGAUAUUUUUCCUUCCCAACCAAACAAUUCCAAUUAGAUUGAGUUUUUAUCUUUCCUGUAAUAUUUGGGGUCACUUGGAAUGGGCGAAAUGCGUCCGCCUUGCUCUCCGUACCAGCCGUGGUGCAUGGAAGUGAGGUGGACGUUGAGCUCGAAGACUUCGCGUCGAAGAGGAUCGCCGACCGCCACGUCAAAAAUUUGUAAACCCUUCCCCUUUCCUCUCCCAAAUGCUAAUUGGAAUAGGAGGAUGCGAUUAAAAAUUGCAUUUCUUCGAUUUCCAUUAGCAUGAAUAUUCCAACUCCGACGCUGCUCGCGCGGGUAUAGCGCGAGGACGAGGAAUCGCAUGUUAUGUAUUAGUAUAUGUAUGUAUUUCAUUUUUUGUAUGCGUGACUUGCCAUCUUGCAAGGCGCAUUAAAAACUUGACUUGAGAGAUUUUUUUUCAGGGAUUUAAAGUGAAAUAAAAACCCAAGUUUCGUCGCUGCUGCUCGUAUGCGCGCGAACUUGGCGCUUAAAACAUUUAUUGCAACGCUUUAUGCGUUUUAAACCCAACAACCGAAAAAUUGUAAGGAAUCAAGUACUAUCGCACCUUUUUGUGCGUGGUAUUUGACUUCCACGGGAUUAUUUGUCAGAUACUAAUCAACAUUUUACCUUCCAGAUUAAUAAAUUUUCUUACAGGUCCUAAUCAUUAUUUCUUAUUUUCAGUUUGAUUACUAAUGAAAAUUUUCUUACAGAUGUUAGGUUUUAGUCUUUACUUUUAUUGUUAAUCAGAUCUUAUUCACAGGCUGUCCCUGGCUACUAAUAUGCAGUCUGCUUUCUGAUUUCAGGAUCCGAAGUCUCGGAAAACUCUCCAAGUUUUCUUACAGAUCCUGGAUGUCAUCGUACUAAUCAAAUGUUGUUCGCAGGCUGUCCCUGGCUACUAAUAUGCAGUUUGCUUUCUGAUUUCAGGAUCCGAAGUCUCGGAAAACUCUCCAAGUUUUCUUACAGAUCCUGGAUGUCAUCGUACUAAUCAAAUUUUGUUCGCAGGCUGUCCCUGGCUACUAAUAUGCAGUUUGCUUUCUGAUUUCAGGAAUCAGCACCUCGUAUACCUUCUACUUCAAUAUCUAAUUUGGGAAAUCGGACGGAUCGUCAUCGCCUCAAAGGGUUCAUAACAUUUUAAAUUUCUGUUUCAGUAAUCAGAAGAAUACUUCUCGGAUUGUGGAGGUCGUGGCGUACAUCAGGAUCCAGAAAUUUUGGCAGCUGAAAUUAUUUUACCUAGCAACGAUCAUUUUUUAUCUUUACAGAAACUUUCUCUCUAUAUGCUAAUGAUAUGUUUGUUACACUUGUUUGUAUGUUUCAGAUCUCGAGUUUAAUCAAUUAAUUGACAAAUGAUUUCUCUCUUUUCAGCAAUGGUACCGUUGCAACCCAUAUAUUUCUUACUGUUUUAUGCUAUUGAUUAUUUGUUUGAUAAUGAUGUUUACUUAUAAGAUGAUUGAGAAUGAUGAUGUUUAUCUAUUUGUCUGUUGUGUUUCGUGUUUCAUGUCAUUUAUGUAGUGUUUCAUGUACGUACAUGUUUUGUGUGUAACUUUGUGUAAUUGACUUGCGCAAGUUUUAAUUGGCCAUAUAUCCAUAAGAUUUUUAUUCAUGCAAUGUUCGUCUAUCUGUGUCAUUCAUAAUGCAAAUGCCAUGUCUAAAUUUAAGACCACUGUGUAUUACCACGUCUUUAUUAUGAUAUAAAGUAUUUGUUAUAUCUUUUUUUUUUCUAUUUGUAUGUUCCAGAUUUUUCUUUGCCAGAUGCGGGAAGCUGAGCUGCUAGUGGUUUGCAUAGGGCUCUCGGCACAGUAUGUAGAAUAUAUAAUGUAUUACAUAUUCUACAAACUGUACUUUUGGCGAUCGU